Molecule: ribosomal RNA, 233 nt
Filed under: uncultured Planctomycetales bacterium
Lineage: Bacteria; Pseudomonadati; Planctomycetota; Planctomycetia; Planctomycetales
Description: partial 16S ribosomal RNA
Rfam family: Bacterial small subunit ribosomal RNA
Source: RNAcentral
UUAGGAAAUGCAGAUUGGUUAAUACCCAACCUGUUUGACAAAGGCCCCAAAGGAAGCCACGGCUAACUCUGUGCCAGCAGCCGCGGUAAUACAGAGGUGGCAAGCGUUGUUCGGUAUUAUUGGGCGUAAAGAGCACGUAGGUGGUUUUGUAAGUCAGAUGUGAAAGCCUUCUGUUCAAAGGAAGAACGGCAUCUGAAACUGCAGAUCUUGAGUGUAGGAGGGGAGAGUGGAAC